RNAcentral lists this ribosomal RNA (480 nucleotides) under uncultured bacterium. RNAcentral describes it as "bacterial SSU rRNA". It matches the Rfam family "Bacterial small subunit ribosomal RNA", at positions 28 to 521 of the family's 1533-position model. The record is from RNAcentral.
GACGAACGCUGGCGGCGCGCCUAACACAUGCAAGUCGAACGAGCGAGAGAGAGCUUGCUUUCUCGAGCGAGUGGCGAACGGGUGAGUAACGCGUGAGGAACCUGCCUCAAAGAGGGGGACAACAGUUGGAAACGACUGCUAAUACCGCAUAAGCCCACGGUGCCGCAUGGCACAGAGGGAAAAGGAGUAAUCCGCUUUGAGAUGGCCUCGCGUCCGAUUAGCUAGUUGGUGAGGUAACGGCCCACCAAGGCGACGAUCGGUAGCCGGACUGAGAGGUUGAACGGCCACAUUGGGACUGAGACACGGCCCAGACUCCUACGGGAGGCAGCAGUGGGGAAUAUUGCACAAUGGGGGAAACCCUGAUGCAGCGACGCCGCGUGAGUGAUGAAGUAUUUCGGUAUGUAAAACUCUAUCAGCAGGGAAGAUAAUGACGGUACCUGACUAAGAAGCACCGGCUAAAUACGUGCCAGCAGCCGCGGU